Molecule: small RNA, 1117 nt
Filed under: Arabidopsis thaliana (thale cress)
Lineage: Eukaryota; Viridiplantae; Streptophyta; Magnoliopsida; Brassicales; Brassicaceae
Description: ATSL043900
Rfam family: Small nucleolar RNA snoR9 (bases 80-194)
Source: RNAcentral
UGUUUCUAUACCCAAUUCCCGGAAACAACAAUUACGGAACCGGAUCAACCAUAUCAGGAGAAGGAUGAAAGAAAUUGAAAAAAAUAAGGAAAACGAUGAGGAAUUAGAAGUUCCGGUGAUGUAAAAAACUCAGGUGAAGAAGACGAGUUGAAAAAUUUUGGCCCUAUUUUUUUGUCCUUUGAUGAUGCUCUCAUGGAAUGAUGACAUGGAAUAUUACAUCCGACGUCGUUUUGAAUUGAUGAGGUGACAAGUAAGCCACCAAACGAACAUUUGAUAACUCAGCCAUCAAGCAAAUCUAUAAGUCAGUCGCAACAUGAAUACUAUUACAGUAAUUAAAAAAGGUAAGUCAGCCGUGUAAUGUCGUAACUCAACUAACUCAGCCGUAACUGCAUGCUAUUAUAGUAAUUAAUCUUUUGCACAUAAGUCAGCCGUAACAAGGCUGAGUUAUUUAGUAAUCGAGCUCUUUACAACUGAUUUAUAACACUCGAUCAUAACUCAACUGUCACAUCAUCCCAUAACUAAGCCGUCCAAAAAUAUAACUCAACCGUGUCGAGGUAAUAAGUCAGCCGUUUUCUCAUAACUCGGCCAUAACGUUAUCUGGGUUAUGCUAUAAAUUCUUAUAACUCGGACAACAUUCCUUAACUCAGCCAUACAGUUACCUGAGUUAUCGUAUAACUCAGGCAACAUUUUUUAUAAACCAGCCGUAACGUCCGGCUGAGUUAUACUCAUACUUUGCCGUUUUGUUAUUACUCAUAUAUUUUUGUCGUAAGUCAGCCGCAACAUACCGUAACUCAGCCGUAACUGCCGCUGUAUCGUGUUACGGCUGAGUUCAUUUAAUCCACGUCAGCAAUUUCUGACGUGGCAGUGGCAUUCCUUGUAAUUACGUUUUUUUCGUAAUGUUUAGUAGGAGCACGCUGGGUAUUAAAAAAAAGACGACAAUAUGACAGUAAUAAAACAAAGUUCUGUCUGUUAUUGUAAUAACACCUAAUUUGUAUUCUAUCACAGUAAAUCUCUCUUCAUUUUUUCGUGAAAAUUGUUUUCAAUUUUCUUUAUUUAGUUUAAUGGUUGUAUUUAAAUGGUUUUAUGAAUCAUGUAUCAUAUAACACUUUUAUAAUAU